RNAcentral lists this ribosomal RNA (452 nucleotides) under uncultured bacterium. RNAcentral's name for it is "bacterial SSU rRNA". It matches the Rfam family "Bacterial small subunit ribosomal RNA", at positions 9 to 507 of the family's 1533-position model. The record is from RNAcentral.
GAGUUUGAUCCUGGCUCAGAACGAACGCUGGCGGCAGGCCUAACACAUGCAAGUCGAGCGAGGUAGCAAUACCUAGCGGCGGACGGGUGAGUAACGCGUGGGAACGUACCCUUUGCUACGGAAUAGCCUCGGGAAACUGGGAGUAAUACCGUAUGUGCCCUUCGGGGGAAAGAUUUAUCGGCAAAGGAUCGGCCCGCGUUGGAUUAGGUAGUUGGUGGGGUAAUGGCCUACCAAGCCUACGAUCCAUAGCUGGUUUGAGAGGAUGAUCAGCCACACUGGGACUGAGACACGGCCCAGACUCCUACGGGAGGCAGCAGUGGGGAAUCUUAGACAAUGGGCGCAAGCCUGAUCUAGCCAUGCCGCGUGAGUGACGAAGGCCUUAGGGUUGUAAAGCUCUUUCAGCUGGGAAGAUAAUGACGGUACCAGCAGAAGAAGCCCCGGCUAACUCCGUG